GCGUCCUGGGUGUGUUGGACAGCACGUUCAGCUUCUAACUGGAAAGGCCGGGUUCGAUUCCUGGAGGACGCGCCA
This 75-nucleotide transfer RNA is filed under the name Brevundimonas phage vB_BpoS-Kabachok. Its description in RNAcentral is "tRNA-Arg". It matches the Rfam family "tRNA". From Rfam's summary of the family: Transfer RNA (tRNA) molecules are approximately 80 nucleotides in length. Their secondary structure includes four short double-helical elements and three loops (D, anti-codon, and T loops). The record is from RNAcentral. Lineage: Duplodnaviria; Heunggongvirae; Uroviricota; Caudoviricetes; Jeanschmidtviridae.